This 71-nucleotide transfer RNA is filed under the name Schistocephalus solidus. It matches the Rfam family "tRNA". From Rfam's summary of the family: Transfer RNA (tRNA) molecules are approximately 80 nucleotides in length. Their secondary structure includes four short double-helical elements and three loops (D, anti-codon, and T loops). The record is from Rfam by way of RNAcentral. Lineage: Eukaryota; Metazoa; Platyhelminthes; Cestoda; Diphyllobothriidea; Diphyllobothriidae.
AGCCCGUGGCUCAAUGGUAGAGCAAUCGACUGAAUUUCCAAAGGUCAUGGGUUCGAUUCCCAGGUGUGCUA